ACCCCGAAGUUAUUUCCAAACAUCCAAUUUGAGUGGUGGGGUUAGCUAAUUCCAUCCCAAAUGGGCUAUUCCGGGAUAGCCCAUUUGGGGUGGAGUUAGUUGACCCCACCUUACCCCACUAUUCCAACCAAACAAAAUACUAUUUUACCCAGUAUCCUUCUUAUUCCACCUAGUCCAACCAAACACUAUUUUACCUAUAUCUAGACUAAACCCAAUUCUCAACCAAACACAUAAUUACUCUAGCCCCAUCUUAACCCUGAACUUAACUCUAUCCCUGAAAUAACAAGUUUUUACUUAACUCCGAACCAAACGGCGGGAGUGUUUGUUUGGAUGGAAGUGAGGGGGAAGUGGAGAGGGGGGAAAUUGUUUACGUCGUAAACUAUCAUUUCCGUUGUUUGGUUCGCCGUAAAAUAGUUACGGCCGAAACUCGAGUUAACCCGAAAUGGCAUAAUUGACUUCGGCCCAUUGUGGGCCGAAAUCAAUUACGGUGAAGGAGGGUGAAGAAAAAAUAAUAAAAUAAUAUACUAGAUACAGAUAAUUAUAUUUAAUUAUGGUAUUAAUUAUUUUUUUAUUCGGUUGACAUAUCUAAAAUAUGAUAAAAAUUGAUUAAUCAAGUAUUAAUUUUUUUUACUUCAUGGUUUUAUUGUUGUAUUAUUAUAAUUUAUGUAUAAAAAAAUAAUUUAGUUGUUUUAAAUUAAAUUUUAAUUAUAUAAAAUAUAAUUAUAUUAUUUUUAUUUAUUAAAUUAUUUAUUAUUUAUAUAUAAAUUAUAGUUUUACAGCAUACACUUUCUACCAAACAAACAGCAGAACUAAUGAAACUCCGCUUCCAUAACUACAAAACAAACAACGAAAAAUAAAUAGUUUUCACCGAACUCCACCUCAAUUCAAAGUCCACUUCAACCCAAAGUCAAGUUUCUGUGAAAUAAACAUGCCCUAAGAGUCCAUUUGUUUUGAUGUAUAUGGAGUGAUAGAACUCAAGUUCCAUCACUUUCGUUAUUUAUUUUGAUGUAAGUCAAAAAUAUAAUAUAACUCUUACCUACUCUCGAUUUCCUCUUCUAAAGUAUCGAACUCGACUUCCGCCACUCUCAAUUCCUCUAAAAUAUUUAUUAAAUAGUAAAAUAUAAACUCUACUUUCUUUAUAAUAGAUUAGAAUUAUCUUAUUUAUAAUAAUUAGAAUUACCUUUAUAUAAUAAUAAAAAAUUUAAUUAUCUAAUAGAUUAAAUUUUAUAGCGGUAAAUUUAUCACUAAAUUUAGGAGAUAACGGAAUCCACUUGCUUACAUCAAAACAAACAACGAAACUCAAAAAAUUAAUUUUUACCAGCAUCAAGUUACAUCAAAACAAUCAGAAGAAGUAAUUGAAUUUAAUUUUCAGACUGUACGAGUUACGUUAAAACAAACAACAAAAAUAUAAUCACAUUUCUUUUCUUUAUUUUUUUGAGAGAUAGGUAGCACGCUACCCGCUUCGUUUAUUUCAUUUAGAAAUAAACUUAGCUGGAAAUGUGAAUCAACUAGGAUUCGAACUUGGGUUUCGGGUACCAACCAUCAAGCCCUUUGCCACUUGCUCUAGGAAAGGUCGGUAAUAUAAUCACAUUUUAGAAAAACUCAAAUACCACUAUACUUGACUUACGUUAGAUCUACAUAUUCAUCAAUCCAAACGCUCCCUAUGCGUUCACAAGUACAGCUUUGUUACAUAUAAGAAACUCACAUUAGGUUUUAUAUCCAAUAUUUCUCAAUAGUUUUCAGUGAACUAAUGAGCAUGGAAGGUUUCAAUAAGAGCUUCUGAUUUUAGGGAUAUAGUUUAUUUUGACGACUUAGACUUGAACAAACGCCAAUAAGGUUCUAUAUGUUAAAUUAUAUAAAAUGAUCAUUAUUUUGCAAAAAAUUAAGCCGGUAAAAAUAAUAUUUAAAUAAUUUUAUAUAUAUUUAACAUCCUCUUUCAUAUUUGUGUUUGAGACUUCUCGCUAGACCCAUUACAUAAACUUAAAUUAAAUGGAAAAAAAUUAAUAACGUUAGCAGUUUGACGUGAGUCAGCUACUGCUUUGAUACCAUAUUAAAUAGUAGAAAAUAACUGUUAUUCUUCAAAAACUUAAACUUAAACUUUAAGUUUGUGGAGAAUAUAAUUGUUUUAUAUAAUUUAACAAGUUGUACAAUGCUUUUUGUUUUGAAAAAAAUUUAUUUUUACACUUUAUUAUAGAAUUAUGACAUGCAAAAGUUGGAUAAGCAACCUGAAAAUAGUCUUAAGACAAUAACACUUUUGUGUAUCGGAUCCGUAUUACGAUCCGAAGCCCAUUACGACCAAUUUAAGCUGAUACUGAAUCACAUGCGCGCAUGCCUAAACACAUGAGCGUUUCUUCACACAGAGAUUAAAAUAAGCUUUAGCUUUUAGCAAAUGAUUCAUCCUUUUGUUAAGAAAUUAUUGCCUGAACCUGGUGUAUAAGUUUCUCUCCAGCACCACAUCCAUUAUUGAUUGGUAAUGUUAUAAAAUCAAAAUCUAGCUAGCCAAAUAUAUUUUACGACACAUAAAGGGCCCAUAAAAAAAAAUUAUAUGCUUUGAAAAUGUAAAUUUGAAAUUAGCGGUACAACUAUAAGAAAUUGGUUGUGAAAUUUAUUAAUUUUGUCACGUUGUUUUAGUAAUAAAUAUGAUAUUUCGAAUUUUAGACUACUAUUUAUAUAUAAAGAUGGCUAAAUAUAUGUCUGUCUAUAUAUCGAUUUUGUCACAAAACUCUCAAUUUUUUUAAAAAAACUAUUUUUACCUUCUUAGUUAAUAUAAUAAUAAUAAUUAUAUUGAAGAAAUAGAUGGCAAAAUUAAUUAUUUAGAAAAUAUAAUACAUUUUUUUAAUUUUGAUGGAUAUGUGCAACGCAUAAUAUUAUUAAGAAAUAAUAUGCAUUUUUGCCGGUAAGAGUUUUCAGAGUUCACCGACUGUCUAUAACAUAAAUGGCAAAAUAUUUGAUGGUUGAUAUAUGAGGUUCUAAAUUCGAAAUCUAGCUAUUUCACGUUUACAGUUAAAUUUAUUUCGUACAAAAAAAAAAAAACUGAAUAAACUUCCGGUUCUGUUGCAUUAUUAUGCAUUUUUUAAGUUUCUAAAAACACCAUAAUUGGGAGACAAAAAGAAGCGCGUCGUUUUGGCAAAGGACAAGCCCAACCAGCGAGUGUACAGCGGAUAAUUAUAUAUACACCCCCCACCCGAGAAAUGAAAAACAAAAAUAACAAAAAGAUAAGGCAACGUUAAGUUGCCUCGAACCAAAAAAAAAAAAAAAAAAAAAACCCACACAUAACAUAUAUACACACCAGGGAGAGAGAGAGAGAGAGAGAGAUGAUACAGUUGUAGUAGUAGCAUCGCAUUCCCAUUUUACCCCCCCAAAAUCCCCAAUCCCCUCUCCUCUGCGCCUUAAUCGAUCUCAUCCCUAAUUCCCACCAAUGCGCCAUUCCCGCCCCUUCUUCUCCUUCGUCGUCGUCGUCCUCCUCCUCGUCGUCGUCGUCGUCGUCGUCGUCGCCUCCUCCUCCCAUGGCGACCUCGCCCGUUCCCUCCGCCUCGAGCUCUCGGCGGCGCCGAUCGCCGCCGCCGCGUCGCGGAUCGACCGCCUCCGCGCGAUCGCGCGGAGCGACCAGCUCCGGCAAGGCGUGAUCGCGGCGGCGAUGGCGCGGCGGCGGAGGGCGUGCGAGGCCCCGGCGGCGGCGCCGGCGGCGGCGGAGGGGCCGGAGUCGGCGUUCGCGAUGCCGCUGAGCUCGGGGGCGUACACGGGGACGGGGCAGUACUUCGUGCGGUUCCGCGUGGGCACCCCGGCGCAGCGCUUCGUGCUCGUCGCCGACACCGGGAGCGACCUCACCUGGGUCAAGUGCCGCCUCCGCCGCCGCCGCCGCCGCCGCCACCACCUUUCCCACGGCGGCGACGGCGCCGGCGCCGGCGCUAGGGUUUUCCGGCCGGAGAAGUCGUCGUCGUGGGACCCGAUCCGGUGCUCGUCGGAGAUGUGCAAGACGUCGCUGCCCUUCUCCCUCGCCACGUGCCCCACCCCGACCACCCCCUGCGCCUACGACUACGGGUAAUGCAUCUACCUGGAUUUUUAUUACAAGAAAAUAAAUAAACUAUUUAAGAUUACGCAAAUAUAUAUCUAACCCAUUUCGGAUCCUGCAUAUUAUAAAUGAGUCCUAUAUAUUUUUCAAAAAUUAGAGAGAGAAGUAUAAUUUUAUCUAUUUUUGUUCAAAUUCCGUUUUGCAUAUAUAUAGGCCUUAGUACCGCGAGAAGUUUGGGGAGAUUCGAACAAGAAUGUCUCUGCAUGUCAUGAUAUCAUCAUGUUGUUUACAACCUCGAAUGUUGAUCUACGCAUCAACACAAACAAUCACUAGUGUAGCAAAAUCCGUUUCUCUUCUAAUACUAUUUGGCUUGUUUUUUUUUUGGUUGCGGGGGUUUUCUAAUUUAAGCAAGUGGAGUUAAAUGGCGUGCCCCAGUUUCUUUCCCCACUGGGUAGAAGAUGACUCCUCUUUAGUAGAGAGAGAGAGAGAUGAGAGAUGGUUAGGUAAUUGUUGGGGAGGGGAGUGGGAGUGGGAGUGGGGAGUUGGGUUGGUUGGGUCAUACACUCAUACUGUGUGUGUUGUUUAGUAUUAGGUGGUCGCAUUGAUUCCGCCGUAUUUGGAUGGUGGGGCUUUUCUGAAGCUCUGAACUGCUUUAAAUGCCUACUCUUUUUUUUUUUCCUAUUUUUCUUUACUAAGUUAUAUUUUCAUAUCAUAUGUUCAUUAAUAAUAUAUUUUGAUCUACUAAUUCAAAGGUAUAAUAUAUUUUUUUACCAAGUUACUAAUGUACCAUAAAAUUGCAAAUAUUUCACUGUUCACUAUUAUAUUUUUUAUCUUUAUUUUUCUUGAGACUUAUGUGAUCAAUGGCGUGUUUUUGAUAUUUUUUUUUUGUGAAACUUUUCAUCAGAUCUAUACUACUGGUAGUGCUAGGAAUGAACUUCUCUUUAUUUGACCAAAUUAUAUUUUUAUUUCUAUAGCUAAAUAAAUGUGAAAAACCUUUGUGCAAAAAUUUGGUACGGCCGUUGUUUUAUGGCUUCAAUCUCACUCUCAAUCUUUAUCAUCAUUUUAUAUGUUUUCUUAGUAUUGAAAAAAAAAAAAAUUUUUUGUCUAAAGACCACUUCAAAGUAAAAAUGAGUAAAAGUUUGAUAUAAAAAAGAGGAUGUUGGCUUGAAUGUACCGUCAUCCCACUAUGUGGCAGGAGAUUAGAUUGGACUGAGUUACGUUUACAAUAACAUGAGGUCGAGUUAGGUUGAGUCAUGUUCGAAAUAACAUAAGAUUUGUUAGAUCGAAUCAUAAUCAAGAUUUGUAGGCGUUGUGCCUGUACGUUCUAAGUGAAUUGGUUGCAUGUUUCUAACUGUCCGAAUUUGUUUAAUUGAUAGUUAGCAUCAACAAUCGGACAAGUGGUAUUAUAGCUCCAUGAGUUAGGCGCCAACAUGACAAUAGUGUACAAAUGAUUCCUUGCGAGGAUCAUACAAGAAUUUUAAAAGCAACUGAUAAACGACUGCUUAUAUUGUAUAUUUAUUAGAAAAUUUUUUAUAUAAUUUUCUUCUCUCUCAUGCUAUCAUAUAGAUUUAUAAGCACAUUAAUAGUGUUUGGUCGAUUGUUGGUGAGGACCUCAGUUUCCUUUGUAGAAUAUGAUGUAUUAUUUCUCGUAUUGAUUAAAUGCUCAAUCUUAGGUUCCAAUUAGAGUUGUCAUCUAACUAUUGGGCCCAAACUCUAACAACAAUAAAUAAUAAAAUACAAAGCAUUUAGAUUCUAAUUAUUGGCGUAACCUCGUAUUUGAUGCGACCAAUUACAAAAUAUGCACCUGACCACGAACCAACCAUAUAGAUUAGGCUAAAUUAAUGAUGUUUUUGGACCAGCUUGGGAAAGUACUAUUUGUUUUCUUAUUUGUUGUUAUUAUUUACAUUAAUUGUUGCUGAAAUAAAUAAAUAUUAAAAAGAUUAGGCAUUAAUGUGGUUCUAUUCUCGGUGACUUGGUAAAAGUGGUUAUACCUCUCACUAAAUAAAUUGAUUAACUUCUAAUGAAGCUGCAUAAAUACUAUUCGACUGUGUUUGGUUCAAACAUUGCAACAUUUCUAAUUAUUGCAACAUGAUAAAAAACUUGAUUCUAGUGAAUUGGAUUAAACUAAUACUAUAUUACCACAUUUGGUUCUGUAUAGUAAUAUAGUAUCAGAUUGAAAUAAGGAGGUGAGAAAAUAUUUCGGGUGUGUGGAGAAUUAGUUUUUUAAUUUUUUGUACAAUAAUAUGUAACCAAUAAUGCGAGAUACUCAUUCCCUUCCCCUGUAUUUUUGACACACCCUAAGAUUUGGAAUAGUCCAAGAUUUGAACCAACUUUAAUUGUGACACUCCAAAAUUUAAAAUAGUCCUAUAUAUAACGUAUAAUGCAACUAAGUUUUUUAAGGCGGCUAUAUAAAACUCGAAAAUCUAUAAUCUAUUAAUAAUCUAAGCAAUUCGUAAAUGAAUGUCAAAAAAGAUAUCUUAGGUAAAUAAUUAAAAUUUUAUCCACCAGGAAGACAUUCUUUUGGAGAUAUUCUUGUAAUCCAUUUGAGAAACCGGCCUUAUUAAAUGUUUAAACCGUUUGCACUUUUUAAGUUUUGGACUCGUAGCAUUCGCUUUUCGAUCGCGUUACAGCGCCCGCUUUAGCGGGCCCUAUGCCACUAAAGCGGCUAUUCUGAACCCGAUUUGUUAAAUUUCGGCUUAGAGAUUAAGCCGUAGUUGUAGCACAUAAAAUUCGCUAUAGCAUACACUAUGACAGGCAUAGUGGCUAUUAUUUAAAAAAUUACAUAUAUAUAAGAUAAAAUAGGAUUAAAUUUUUUAAUUCGGUUAUAUCAUUUUGGGUAGUGCUAGAAUUAGAGUAAUUUAAGAUAGAUGAUCCUCUUGAAAAGUACGGCUUUACUGUAAUAAUUUGAAAAACUUCUUGCAAAAUCUCUAAUAACUCUGUCACCAUAGUCCCAACUGAAUGCGUUCUGUAAAAAAUGAGUCAAUUUGCUGAACUGUUUUGGCAGUAAAGUUGAUAUUAAAAACCCAAAGCUGCCAAAAGAAAAAAAAAAUAAAAUAAAAUAAAAUAAAAUAAAAAGCAUGUAUGUAAUAUUGAACCUCCCAAAACUAUUCUUUGUGAUACAAGGUGAAAGGGAACUGCGAUCAAGAUUUUAUAGUUGUGUUUGUAUUUUCUUGGAAAAAGAAAGCUAAUUAUGCAAUUGGUCCUUAAUCUCUACCUAAUCUUUUAUUUGAUUCCUAAUCAUUAAAUUUAUGUAUUUAAUUCCUUAAUUCGUAUUGCUUGUUUCAAUCACAUUUUUUCCGCAAAAAAAGUUCAUUGACUUUGAUGCAAAUUGCCGUGGGGCAGUAUUUGUUUCUCGUGUGAAAAAAUUUAUCUGAAUUAUCAAAUAUGUUGAUAGAAGAAAUUUAGUUAUUAAAAUAUAACGAAUAAAUACUGGAGAUUUAAUUAAAAAUUUUAUAUAUAUAUAUAUAUAUAUAGAGAGAGAGAGAGAGAGAGAGAGAGAGUAGGUCAUUUUACUUUUAUCAGAAUAGAGUCUUUCGUAUUCAUAAGUUGUUUUUGAUAAUUGGGCUUCCGAAUCGACGAUCCACUCCGUUAAAUAUGAUUUAGAGUAUUUGAAACUUAUAGAAAAUAAAUUUCGUAAUUUUUCGAAAUCAUAAUAAAGUUCAUCAAGCGGAUAUAAAAUGAACGGUCAAAAUCGAACGGCAUCUUAAAAAUGGAUGAUCGGAUCCUUCAAUUUAAGAUCAGAGUUAUUGAUCUUUAUCUAAAUAGUGAAUAGAAUUUUUUGUAAAAAAUUCAACCUAUUCUAAUUCUUUUACACUGUUAAAUUAUCAAGUAUUCCAUACCGGCCGUUAAAAAUUGUCAAUUUUGUAAUCUUCUGAUCAAAUUAUGUCGAAAAAUUAUGAACUUUGAUUUGUAGAAGUUUUAAAUGUUCUAAAUAAUAUUUAACGAUAUGGAUUGUCGAUUCGGAAGUUUUAUCAUCGAAAACAACUUAUGAGUACAAGAGCGAUUGUACUCAUAAGAGUAUAGUAGCCGAACCGGACCCUAUUUAUAAGGAAAUUCGUGCUUCUAACUCUUUGGGCCUUGGAUCAACCUCUUUGACUAUUUCUGACCUUUGAAUUAAUAUUAUUAUUCUAGAAGACCACUCAAACCUAGGGGAACCAUUCAACCCAACCCCUUCAACUAUUUCUGACAUUUGGAUUAAUAUUAUUAUCCGGAAAGACCACUCAAACCUAGGAACAUUCAACCCUAAGGAAACCAUUAUCAUCCCGACCAUAUAAUUUUUUAUUCAAGGACUAAAAAAUCGAAAGCAUCAAUUUUUUUAUACUUUCAAUAACAUAAUAGCUCUACUAUAUAUAUAUAUAUAUAUAUAUAUAGGGAUAAUUACCUAUAUAUAUAUAGUCCGACUACUAUACUCUUAUGAGUAUGAUCGCCCUCGUACUCAUAAAUUAUUUUUGAUGAUAGAGCUUCCGAAUCGACGAUCUAUACCGUUAAAUAUUAUCUAGAGUAUUUAAAACUUCUAGAAAUUAAAUUUUAUAAUCUUUCGAUAUAAUUUACCUUACGAUCAAAAGCUCACAAAAUUGACAAUUUUUAACGAUCGGUAUGGAAUAUUUGCUAGUUUAACGGUGUAAAAGAAUUGGAAUAGAUUGAAUUUUUGAUAGAAAAUUCUAUUCACUAUCUAAAUAAAAAUUAAUAACUCCGAUAUUAAAUUGAAGGAUCUGAUCAUUCAUUUUUAGGAUGUCGUUCAAUUUUUACCGUUCAUUUUAUACCCGCUUGAUGGACUUUAUAAUAAUUUCGAAAAAUUAUAAAAUUUAUUUUUUAAAAGUUUUAAAUACUCUAGAUCAUGUUUAACGGUGUGGAUCGUUGAUUCGAAAACCCCAACAUCGACAACAACUUAUGAGUACAAAUGACUCUAUAUUCAUAAGAAUAUAAUAAUCCUCUCUCUCUCUCUCUCUCUCUAUAUAUAGUCUCUGAUUACAAUGCUAUCGAUAGCAUGAAGUACUUGGUGCUACCAAAUUUUUUGCUGCUAAAUUCACCCCUAUGACCAUUUCUCUCUCAACAUAUAGAGAGAGAAAGUUCGACUGCUAUAAUAUCAAUAGUACCAAACUCUUGAUACUAUCAAAUUUUUUACCGUUAAAUCUACUCAUUAAUCAUUUUUACUUGUUAGAUUAUCGUAUUCAACCAACGACCCACUCAACCCUAAAAAUCACUAUCAUUCUAACCGUACAUUCUUUCAUCCAACUGUCGAAAACUAGAUAGCGCUAACCGUUUAGUACUAUUGAGAUUUUCAUAAUUAGAUCUAUUUUCUUAACCAUUUCCGUCCGUCAGAUGUAUAUUUCCUUUUUCGGGAUGUAUAACAUGCAUUUUUUUUUGUUUGUUUUCGGAAAAAAAUGUACGGAGACUUAGGAUCAAUUAAUACGAUUUUUAAUGGAGUAUAGAGAAUUCGCAAAAUUGCCGCUCACAAAAUAAGUAAGUAAUUGUUGUUGUCGACGAGUUCAUUUCCAGAAUGUUGACGAUGAUCAUCAUCAUCGUUAUAUUAAGGAUUAAUUUGCAUGGUUAACCAGCUGACAGAGCAGUGCAUGUGUGGUGUUGGUAAUUCAUUGAAUCAUGAUUUCAUAUCAGGUACUCGGACGGGUCGUCGGCAAAGGGCGUGUUCGCGAGCGAGUCGGCGACGAUCACGCUGGCGGGCGGCGAGCGGGCGAAGCUGCGGGGGCUGAUCGUGGGCUGCACGACGUCGUCGGCGGGGUCGAGCUUCCGCGCGUCGGACGGCGUCCUCGGCCUCGGCUACAGCAACGUCUCCUUCGCCGCCCGCGCCGCCGCCCGCUUCGGCGGCCGCUUCUCCUACUGCCUCGUCGACCACCUCAGCCCGCGCAACGCCUCCAGCUUCCUCACCUUCGGCCCCAACCCCGCCCUCUCCGACGACUCCCCUUCCCGCUCCCAAUCCCCGCCGCCGCGCCAGACCCCGCUCCUCCUCGAGCCGCGCCUGCAGCCCUUCUACGGCGUGUCGGUGUCGUCCGUGUCCGUCGACGGCGAGUCCCUCCGAAUCCCCGACAGCGCGUGGGACGUCGCGAGGGGCGGCGGCACCAUCCUCGACUCCGGCACCAGCCUCACCGUGCUGGCCGACCCGGCGUACAAGGCCGUGGCGGCGGCGCUCAGCCGGCGGCUCCAGAAUUUGCCGAGGGUCAGCGUCGAUCCCUUCGAGUACUGCUACAAUUGGACCGCAUCGGCGGGGUCGUCGGCAUUACUGCUGCCUAAAUUGGUGGUGCAUUUCGCGGGCGGGGCGCGGCUGGAGCCGCCCGCGAAGAGCUACGUGAUCGACGUGGCGGACGGCGUGAAGUGCGUCGGGAUCACGUCCGCGCCGUGGCCCGGCCCCUCCACCAUCGGCAACAUCCUGCAGCAGGAGCACCUCUGGGAGUUCGAUCUCAAGAAUCGACGGCUCAGAUUCAAACGCUCCAAAUGCGCCUAAAUUAAAUUAAAUAUUAUUCGACGGCUCUGAUUCAUUCUUUUCUUUUUCUUUUUUCGUUUUUUUUUUUUUUUUUGUUUUCUUCUUCAAGUAAAUUAGCUCCCCGUCCCGCCUCACUCUACUCCCGCUCCGUGCCCAGAUUUUUAAAUCUCAAUUUUUUUUUUUUUUUUGCUCUCCUCUAAAGAAAAGUUGUACUUGUAUGUGUGAAUUGGUGAUUGUAUUAAUUAAUAAUAAUAAUAAUAAUAAUAAUAAUAAUAGGAUCUACGGUGGGGCCCUCGUAAUCGUAAAUGGGUAAAUGGUGCCAGGCUGCCAGCCGACUCACGUGAUAUGUGGAAGGGAUGGGGAGCAGCGCAUCAGCGGGGCAGCGACGUCUCAUUGUAUUUUAUAUUGUAUUUAUUUAUGUGCUGAGACUCGGGACUCGGGACUCGGGACUCGGGAGUCGUUUCCAUUUGUCAAAAGGGGAAAUGAUGACGUGUAAAAUCCCAAUGUUUUUAGGGUUUUGUGUCUCUUGCUUUACGUCAAAUCGAAUCGAUCAACGUGAUACAGCAGAAUAUUUCCUUGCUUCCAAAGAGAUUUGAGCCUUAUUAUUAUUAUUAUUAUUAUUAUUAUUUGACUGUAUUUUGUUGAAAAUUAAGCUAAUUUGUAUAAAAAAUUCAAAAGUUUUAAACUUUUAUAAAAUUAGCCCCUCUUUUUUAGUUUUACAGAUUCGGUCCGAAUUUUUAGCAAAUUAAUUAAAAUUAUUUUCUUUUCUCUUCUGUUUUUCGUUCUUUUUUUAUAUAUUCGCGGAGACGGAAGUGGCCCGUUUCGCCUCUGCCUCGCACACCCUCUCGCCCUCGACCACGCACGCACCCCUGCCCUCCUCGCCUUCGACCCUACCGAGACCGUGCCGCUAUCUUCUUUUUUUCUUCUCUCCGACCCUCCUCUACCGCCUCCACGGUUCUUUCCAAUGGUAAUUAAUGAGGACGGCAACGCGUUCUCUUCCUCCACCUUCUUCCUCUAUUUCUACUAUAGCAGAUUUUGCACCCACCAAAUCUACUUUUGGGAACCUGCGUCCCCACCGCCGCCGCCAACGAUAAAGAGGAAGCACAUCUUGACGCCAAAAAGCUCGCCAGCAAAGGAGAGGGCACGUGGCCCACCCGCCUACCCUGGCGGUGAGAGCGCAGCCUCGGCGGUGUCGUAGGCGAAGAGGGCGAGGGGUGCACAGGAGUAUUUCUGGAUUAGCACUUUUAUUUGUUUAAAAUAAAAAAAAAAAUUAACUAAAGGUCAAAACUAGAGAAUAAUGAAGAAAACCAGAGAAGAAGAAAGAAGAAGAUAAAGUUGCAUUGUUAAAAUUAAAUUGUAUUAUUUUAAAAUAACUUACACUAUUAUGUACGUAAGUUGCACUAUUUGAAAUAUAAACUGCACCAUUUAAAAUGAAAAUUACACUAUUUAAACAAAAAUUAUACUCUUUGAGAGAUAUUUACACUUUUUUUUCUCUUGUUACACUCUUUGAGAUGUAAACUGCACACUUUAAGAAAAAAAAUGGUGUAAAUAUCUCUCUUUGCAACUUUAGUUUAAAGAGUUCAACUUUCAUUUUAAAGGACGCAGUUUACAUUUCAAACAGUGUAAUAAGAGAAAAAACAGUGUAAAUAUCUCAGAACCUUUGAAUUAAAUAUUAUAACCUAGUGGAGACAACUCAACCCUAGGGGGACCAUUCAACCCUAAAGGACUAAUAUCAUCCUAAUCCUACAAUUUCUCAUCCAAAGAUUAAAAACUUAAUAGCGAAAAAGAUCUUUUACCAUCAAUAGAAUUGAGUGCAAAAUUGACAUUUUAAUUUUUUUAAAUUGUGGUAGAUAUUUAACUUAAGUUUAAGCUAAAUUAAUUUAACGGAUGGUAACUGUAGGCGUAUUUUAGAAUAACGGAGAAAUAUAUAAGGAGUGUAUUAUUAAAAAGAAAAAAAAAUAAAAAUAAAUGAGAUAUUUUUAAAAUUUGAAGAGAUAUAUAGAUAAUUAUUUUUAUAUAUUCUUUAUGAUCGACGUAUAUCGAUACUAUCCGAUAUGCAUCAUAUCAUGUCGAUAAAUUUUGGACACAACACCGUACGAUGGUACCUAAAUUUUUGUCAUCGAACACAUUUGUUUGGUAGAACAAUUGCUCCCUAAAAAGACUCGCAGUCAUUAGCAAGAUGGACGCGUAUGUCGAGAACAGAGCAGGAAGUAAUGGAUCUAACAUCACAUCUGGCUGCUGUUCUCGCAAGAAAAAAUUUUAGGUACCGUUUGAUUCAGGUAUAAGUAAGAACUAGUUAUUACAGGAAUAGAUACAAGUAUGGGGAUAAAAAAAAUACUGUUUGAAUGAAAAUUUGGUUGUUUUUGGGAAUAAGAAUAAUUUUAGAUAGUUUUAUAUAAAAAAUGAAGGUGUUGGUGGGGAUAACCGAGAACUACUAUUCUCAAGUAAAAAAUUAGCGUUUGGAUAUAAAGAGGGAUAAUAACCUAUUCCUAUUCCUAUCCCCUAACCAAACGCUGCCUUAGAAUAUAAAUACACAUAUUACUGAUGAUAUGUUAUUCUUAACUAAUUAAAAAAAAAUUUAAGAUUCAUAUAUUUUAUUAUUAUUUUUAAAAAAUGUUUUUAUUAUAUUUUUUUUCCUGAUCGGACAUAGAGGAUACGCUUUAUUGCAUGCGCGUUUGUAUUAAUUAAGUAAAUACUGCAUUUCUUUUUUUGAAAAAAAAAAAUCUUAUAAUUGGUUAGGGUUUUCGGAAGAUGACUUCUACGGGCUUUGCUAACUUUUUUUUUUUUUAAUGUAAAAUUGAUGGGAUAACAUGCGCAACAACCCUAAUUAAUGGAACCACAGGGGCAGGAUUGACUUUCUAUUUUAGUUGAUUUCUCCACCAAAGUUUUAUUAGUUCUGCUAAAAUAUGUCGCAUUGAUUCUAAUAAAGUUAUAUUUAUUUUUAUAGAUCACAGUUAUAGUGCGGUAGCUCUUGAUUAAUAUCGGCGCCAAUUUUGUAAAAUUUUAGAAAGAACUCAGUACAUCCGGCUCAAAGUCAAUAAUAUCAAAUGCUCUAAAAGAAGCAGUUGCGUUAGGUCAAAAUGGUUAUAUGCAUGAAGGACGGCAUUAGGGAUGAUAAAAUUGGACUUGAUACAAUAUGCGAGAAGAAUUUAGGCACCAGACUAAAAAAUAAGUAAUAGUUAAGGACCAAUGAUACAAUUAUCUGUACAACAAUACUAUCCAUAUAUUCUAGUUCGGGAUAUAAGAUAUACACCCUAAUCUUUGGAUAGAUGAAAUUUUACUUUACUAAAAAAGAAAUUUUUUUUACUAAGAUCUAUUUGGAUUUUGUGAAGUUUUGGAUGCCAAGUUGUAAAAUGUCCGUCCCUGAUAGAAACGUACAAGUAGGGGUGGAAACGAGCCGAGCUCGAGCGAGCUUAUGUCAGCUCAAAUUCGGCUUGAAAUUAAUUUCGAGCCUAAAUCUAGGCUCAAGCUCGGCUUGAAAUUAAUUCGAGCCGAGCUCGAGCGAGCCUAAUUUCGAGUCGAGCCGAGCUCGAGCUCUAAACGAGCCGAUUGAAAUUCUCAACAUUAUAUAAUCAAUAGUUUAAUUUUUAUAGAACAUUAUCUAUAAUUUGAUGCAACAUGUUCAAUAGUUCAAAAUACAAAAUAAUUGUAAGAAAUGUGAGCUAGGGUGACUGCCUGACUGGGUGAGGGUCAGAGAGAGAGAGAGAGAGAGAGAGGGAAAAAAAAUUAGAGAUUUGGGAAUUUGAAUGUUAUCAUGUUUUAGGGUUAUGUGCAACAGUGAAAGUCUGAAAGAGAGAGUAUGUUAUGUAAAUUUAGAGUUGGGCUCAAUUGCACGAUUGUACUUGUUGGGUUUAUUUUAUAGGCCAACAAUAAUGACCCAAAUUAAAUUAAAGCCUAUAUAUAUAUUUUCGAGCUUUCGAGCUUUUCGAGCCUAAUUCGAACGAGCCGAGUAAUACUCAAGCUCGGCUUGAAAUGAAUUUCGAGCCUUUUAUUUUGUUCAAGCUCGGCUCAUUUAAUUUCGAGUCGAGCUCGAGCGAGCCAAAUAUCGAGCCGAACACGAGUCGAACGCGAGCCGGCUCGCUCGUUUGCCAGCCCUACGUACAAGUAGCAUUUUCAUAAAAAUUAAAAAUUUAUUUACAGAAAAAAAAAAAUUGUGACCAGAAUAAAAACUGUCCGUAAGGUUGGGGACCAAUAAUGCAGUCAACACAAUUAUUUAUUAGGGGCAUUUGCAUUACCAAGAGAAUCCUAUGUUGCACUUAUCACUGUUACCUGCAACAUUUCACUAGGGUGAAAACAAUUAAAGAAAGAGGUUGGACAAUUUCACAUCAGCAACAAAUCCUACUGCGUUAAAACUUGGUAACACCUUUUUUUUCAUAUUUUUAGCUAAAUUUAUUUUUAAAUAAAAUAAACGAAGCAGAUAGCGCGUGCUUGCUACCUAUCUCUCAACAAUAAAAAAAAAAAAACAUCUUCCUUUUUCACUUGUUAGAAUAAAGCACGGUCACCGAACUUUGGCCGCGGAAUUUUAAUUUAAAUCACCAAACUUUAAUUUUUAUUUUAAGCAGAUCAUUUUUAAUAAUUUGCCAAAUAAGGUGACUAGCAAUCUAGCAUCAUAUUCUAAGAAAAAUAUGACUGUUAAUAUCUCGCCUAGGGGAUGAUCUAACUAUUUUUGUAAACUUUUGUUAUGAUACUUUUGAGUUUGACCCAAUUUGAGUUGAUUAAUUCAUCAAGUGGAAAACGUAAAUAUAUAGCACAACUAAUCUCCAAACUUUUAGCCAGGUUUUACUUUACUAGUCAUAUGUUUAAGUUCAAUAUUUAAAGUUCUAAACUCUUUAUAUUGUUUCAUUUUAGUUCUUAUUUGUUAUAUACCAUUAGAAAGAAAAAACAAUUUGAAGCUCAUAUCCAGGCACUUGUACAUACAAUUGCCGUAACUCUAUCGACCCUUGAAUUGAUUUUAUAUUAAAAUUCUACUAUCAGUGGAAUUGUAGGUUUUUUUUUUCAGAAAUAAUUUCAUUAAUACCCCUCUAAAAGACAAUAAUUUUAUGAAUAUUACUUUAAACUUGAAAAUAUCAUCAAUACCUCUCUAAAAAUAAAAAAUAUUCACAGAUACACUUAGAGCAUGUUUGGUUCGCACUAUGAAAGAUUAUUAGAAAUAAAAAGAUACUUAAAAAUCUUAUUCCUACUCAUCCUAUUAUUAAAAUUGUGAUAUUCCAGUAUUUGGUUCGUACGACCAUAUUAUUUAAGAUUAUAAAAAAUAUAUAAUUAAUGUAUUUGUUUCGUUAAUUAAUUUUGUAUGAUACUAUCAAAAAUUUUAACAUCUUUUAAAAAAAGGGAGAGAGAUACAGGUUAAAGAGAGAGAGAGCAUAAUUAAAAAAAAAUAGAAAGAGAGAUAGAGUCGUAGUAAGAGGGAGCGAGAGAGUUGACAUUUUAAAAAGAGAGGGAGAGGGAGGGUUCAGUUUAGAAAGGAAAAAAGAGUUGAAAUUUAGAGAAAGAAAGAUAAGUUUAGAAAGAGAUAUAAGAUUAGAGUGUGAAGAAGAACAAUACAAACUAGCUGGCAGCUAGGGAGAAAAAAAAAUAUUAGACAUAUUGUACUUUCCCUAAUCCAUUAAUAUAAGAAUAACUAUCCUCUUUCAAAAAAAUAAGAUUAAUAUUUUGGAAUAAAUCUCAUUUCUAUGUAAAUCUAAUAUUAUCAACUAAAUUACUUAGUGAGUUUAACCAAACGCUCUUAUAUUUUCUUAUUCCUAUUGAAUUACUGGAAAUUUUAAAGAGAUAGCGCAAAAUAAAUGCACCUGUAAGGUUAACAUUUUGUCAAAUAAUCAUCCAAUAUUCUUUAAAUACUAUUUUUAUUCCUAGCACUAAUUUAACUAAGUAUAAUAAUUUAAGAUUAAUUAAAUAAUCAAUGUUUAAUAUUUGAAUCACAUAAUAAUUUAACAUUUUUUAAAAAAAAUCGUACAAUUAAAGAUCUAUAGUCGAUUAAGUAUAAUAAUUAAAUCUCAUUAUGCUUUUUGGCAUUUAAAUUUUACAUAGUUGUAAUGCGUAUCUUCUAUACCUAUAUAUUAUUUGUCAUAGAGUUUGCCACAUGGCAAUUUCUUCUUCAAUCCACUUCUCACUCCCUAAUGCUUCGCCUUCCCACCCAAUCUCUGUCUAAUGCUUUGUCUUCCUACUCACCCACUUUCUAAUUAAUAAAUUCACAUGAUCCAUUUUCAUUUAAACAAAUUGCUUUAAGAAAAAGUAAAAUAAGAUUUUUUCGUACUCUUUUUUAUCAUAUUUUUUUCUUUUUGCUUGUUUUUGUGCACAAGAAGGGUUCAAUUUUUUGUUUUUUUCUUGAUCUCUUUUGCUAUUUUUUUUAAAAUUGUGUGAGGAAUGAAAUUAGGAUUCAAAGGAUCGCGGUGGCGCGGCGUGUGUGAGGAUUGAAAUUAGGAUUCCGAGGAUCGCGGUAGCGCGGCGAGGUGGAGUGCGAUGGAUUUGGAGUCAAUGAGGGGAAAGAAGCGGUGGGUGUGGGGGGAUCCAUACGGCAUCAAUGUGGUCGUGAUCAAGGAGAGGCUCGACACCGGCAAUAGCGGUGGAGGCGAUGCGGAGAACGGGAAUUGCCUCUUCGAUCUGACAGGGCGAUCAAGGUACGUAUGGAAUAGCAACUCUGCUACCACUUCUUUUAUUAUUGUUAUUAUAAUUUAUUUAUUGUUGUAACUUUUAUUACAUUUGUACAUAUUUAUUUUAUGUUUUCAAUUUGUAUCUAUUGAUAUCUUAUGUCAAGUCAAAAAAAUUUUUAAUUUUAACUUUGCCAAUCUUUUAUCUUCUAUAGUAUUAGCCCGCCGCAAUACGUGGGCAGCUUCACUAAUUCAAUUUCAAGAUUUAUUUUUUAAAAUUUUAUUUAAUUAACUCACAUACCUAGCACUAAAAAUAUUUUGAUAUCAAAAUUCUUGAUAUUAGAGUAUUUCUUAUAUGACCUACUCAAACAAAAAAAAAUUAAUUGAAAGUUUAUUGUCAACAAUAAAGUAAAAAUGCAUGAAGACCCUCACACCUGUAAUAUAAUCUAACAAGUGAAAAUGAUCAAAAGGUAGAUCUAACGGCAGAAAACCCGAUAACCUCAAGACCUCGAUACUAUUGAUAGUAUAGAAACCGGACUCUCUCUCUCUCUCUCUCUCUCUCUCUCUAUAUAUAUAAUGACACGAUAGCUAUCACGAUUUGUGAACCAUGAUAGCUCAAAAGCCGGCAAUCUCCUUUCGUACACGCCAAUUCUACUAUCACUAGGGACGAAUCCUACUAUAACCAGGGGAUCCCAACUCAUCCACCAGCCAACUCAUUGUAUUAGAUUGCCCACUUUUACUAGUUUCCCAUCUAGAUUACCAUCUUUUAAGCUAUUAUAGUUCUGGAGCUAUGAUAACUAUCAUAUCAUCGGCCUGAGAGAGAGAGAGAGUGAUAUAUAUAUAUAUAUAUCUCUCUCUCUCUCUCUCUAUAUAUAUAUAUAUAUAUAUCUCUCUCUCUCUCUCUAUAUAUAUAUAUAUAUAUAGAGAGNGUUCGGAGAAAGAAAUUCCAAAUAAAAAAAUUAAUUGUUAGUUUAUAUUAAAAGAAUUUGUAGCCUAAAAAAAAUAAAUUAAUUAUUCUAAGAGAGGCCAAACACCCACUUAAUCUGAAUCCAAUUAUUAUUAAAAAAAGAAGCAAAGAGUUUGGUGAUUGGUAUCCGAGGCCACAAAUUCGAAUUCUAAUUGAUUAACAUUUUCAGUCAAGUUUAUUUCUAAGUUUGGUUGAAGCUCAAGGCACAAGAUGUUUUUUAAGAGGGAAUUUUAGCCUGAAUCCAACUAUUACUCAAAAGCCUAAAUUGGCCGAUCAAGCGGGUCAGGUUAUAUCAAAUUUGCCACCCUAAUUGUGAGGCUUUGCUCAUCAAUAUUUGUAACUCCCAACCAACUGCCCAUCAACUCAUGCUUGUGGCAAAGGCUCAGACUUGAAAUAAAAAAAUAAAAAAAUAAAAAAAUAAAAAAAUUUAUAACCAACUUCUUUUCUUCACACUUACUGCAUGGGGAGAAAAGUCAUGAAGAUGAAAACACACCCCAAAAGAAGCUCACAUUGAAAGAGUGCUUCUUGAAAAAACUACAACUCACCGCAUCUUUUUACAACUAUUAGGACAACACUUGCAUUCUCUCCAAGUACUUGAUUUUUUCAUCAGUUUCACCACUCUCUUCUUCUUCUUCUUUAUAAAUGACCUCAUACCUCCUCUACAAUUCAUUUACUUUAUUUAUUCUGUGCAGUUUUAUCCCUGCAUCUUCUCAAAGAACUUUGCAAAUCCCUUUACAACACAAAAAUGAUUAUUACAGAUCAAACGACGGAGCAACCGGGAUCCCGAUAAUCUCUGUCAGCACGGGCUCAUCGGAAAUUCACCUAGUACGAGUCCGGAUCGGCGAACCCCCUCAAACUCGUUUCCUAAUACCCGAUACGGGUAGCAACACCUCUUGGGUGUACUGCGAUCGCGAACCUUAUUAUCGAACUGAUCAUGAUAAAUCAAACUAUCGCAUCUUCCAUUACUCUCUUUCUAACACCUUUACUCCCUCGACUCGUAACUACACGCAUGAAUACGUCGACGGGACCUCAGGCUGCAGGAUUUUGGGCUAGAGAGACUGACAUUUAGGUCAUCAGAAGGGCUAGACUUCAAGUUCAAGGCUGUGAUGAUUGGUUGCAGCUCCCCAGCUUUCACUAAUCUUACUGAUGGUGAUGGAAUCCUAGGACUAUCUCCCACUCACCCUUCUUUCAUUGCGCAGAUAGCACCUGAAUUUGGAUCCAUAUUCUCUUAUUCCCUCUCCAAUAACAAGGCUAAACUAGGGCAAAAUCUGUUAGUGUUUGGAUAACAUGGUGGAUCUAACUUCGAUCGAAACCGAAUGCAGCAUAUAGAGCCAGUUCGCAGACUUAUUCUUCUCCGUCGAGGUUUCGUUCUUGUUUAUAGACGAUAAGCUACUGGAGAUCCCCAAGGAUGCUUGGAAAUAUGAUGUCCAAAAUGAUACAGGAGGGGUGAUUUUGGAUACAGGGACCAGAUUCACCUAUGUGCCCAAAUUCGCGUUUCACGCAAUACACGAAUUUUAUGCCGAGUUCUUUCAGACUUGUAAUAGUGUCUUUUUGGCUCGGCCGAUAGGCGCAAGCGACGGCUCAAUAAUCGGCAACAGUUUGCGGAAGGGCUACUCUUGGGAGUAUGAUCUUUUGUAUCAAAGAGUAGGGUUUGCACCUCUUAGUUAGCACUCAAAUUGAAAUAUACCAUGCCUACAUGGUGAUCUUUGGAUCUAAAACACAGUUCGGUUCAGAAAUAUAUAAAGAUACCACUUCAAUAUAAUGAUGUUUCCCUGUAAUUUUUCAAGCCUGAUUUAUUUCUGUAGAUGCUACACUCAAAAGGACUCUAAAAACCAAAGCAAUCUCGGCACAAAGUUAUGUUGGAUUUGCCUCAAAUUUCACUGAAAAUACACAGAUUGAUAACAGUUCAGAUAUUUAAGGUCCAGCAUAACUUGUGACAAGGAACAGCAUAGAGGGGCAAAGUGAUCCUUACAUCUCUCAACAUCUUAAGAAGCCUAGUAACAGGUUUAGAACACAGCAUAUAUCUGGCAAACAGUUGACAAAUUGAACGUAAAACCUAAUGUCCAAUAGGUACUACGCCAAUCCAAGAUAAAGAAGAGGAUUGGUGAUCUCAUGCGCUCCCAUCUUCGAAACUCAAAACCAUAAACUUCGGACACUUCCAUUUGCUAGAUGUUUGAAUAAUGCCUCUCUAUUUAUGCUGUUUCUAAAGCUCGGCCAAAUCGGUGACAUCAGGUAAAAAAUCCUAAAUCCAACAUGACAGGAUCUGACAUAACAUUGCAAAGAUUCCUUUAACUUCAGAAACAACUUGCACAACACUUCUCCCACACAACCAGAAAUCAAAAGAGUCCGACAGUCAAGAGUUGGAACUAUGAUAUGUAGUGGGCUGCCAUGGAUCAUUUACCUACAACUCUAAUAGGAUUUGGAUGCAGAUCGCAGGUCAAUUCGACCAGAUUAAAUGCAGAUGCGAUGAAAUAACUAGUAAUCUGCUCUUCUAUAAGCACGAGCUAUGAACUGAAUAAAGCGCAAGAUACGAUUCGAAAGUGAACUGAGAAGAAUAAUUAAAUAAGCAAAGUUGAACCGAAAUAGCGUCUGCUAAUACAAUCACAUUUGGAUAAAGAAACCAGAUCUGUAGGCAAGAAUAAUAUAUUUGUUGAUUUAGGAUAUCUGUAGAUUUUUCUGGUUUCUUUAUCUAAACCAGAAGACUCUAAGGAUAUCCUAAAUCAACAAAUAUAUUAUUCUUGCCUACAGAUUAUUUAACAGUUAAAUAAACCACCGAAAAUGAAAUGUCAAAAUGCACUCCCUAAUACCAAACGAAGGAAAAUCUGAGAUUUAAAAUUUACAAGGUAGCUUGCAAAAGAGAACUGAAAUUAGCCAAAGUUUGUUUUCUGCCAUCAGGAAUAGCUGCACUCAAUAGUUCAUCUGAAAACAAGAAAAUAUAAUAAUAACUGAAGUAUCUAGAUAUGUAUCUAUACAAGAAGCAUUAAACUAGAAAAUAUAUAUUAAUAAUAAUAACUGAAGUAUCUAGAUAUGAUCUAUAUAAGAAGCAUUAAACAAGAAAUGAAGCAUUUAAUUUACUUUGACAUCCAACCAAAACUAAAUUUUCUCUUCUGAACUCGCAAAUCCAAAAAUAUCAACAAUCCUUCACCAAACUUUCUUCAUACUGUUUACUUUAAUUUUUGGGGCUGUUUUUUUUUGCAUUUAGCCCUCUCAAAACUUGUUUUUUAUAAAUAAACCCAAUAAAUUUAUAUUUGCAGAAAUAGCACUCUCACACCAUGCGAGCACCAUGAUAGACAAGGUAGGGCUAUGUGGGCGUUUUUAAGUUGAACACGGUGAUCCGAUCACCAUAUUUAAACACGGUAACUGAAAUACCUGUUCCAUUUUGUGUUUUUCACCAUAUUACUUUAAUUCCCAUCGCCCCUAACUCAAAAAAAAAGUACUAAAGUGUGGAUAUGAACACAGUGAUCCAAUCACCAUGUUCAGCUUAACCUAUCCAACAUGGUGCUUGCGUAGCAAGGAGAGGGUCAUUUAUGCCAAUAUAACAUCGCUGAAGCUGUUUGUUAAAAAAAAAUGUUUUGAGGGUCCAAAUGCAAAAAAAAAAAAACCCUAAUUUUUUUUUGCUUUUGUUGAUUUUAACAAAAGGAACCUUUUUCCUGAUUAAUGUUAUUUUUUGCUACAGGAUUAUUAUAUAGGAUUUUCGAGUCUUCUUUGCAUUUUAGUCCUUCACAUGAACAACCACAGUAAUUCGAAGUUCAACAGCAAGCGCACAUCAUACUUGUUCAACAAAUAAGGGAUUUUGUGCCCUUUUUUCUUAACAAUCAUUCAACAUUUCAAAAAUAUUAUCCAAUUAACAGUUACCUGAAUUUCAUAAAAAUUGGAAGAGCAUGAGGGCGUCAUCAAGUUUAUAGAGGGACGAUUGCAAUAUGUACUUUACCCUUUGAUAUUUCUUGUCACCAUGCGGGGAAACCUGAUGAAUGAUAGAGAUGUGACGAAGUAAAUGCAAAGCCAUUUAAUAGCUAAUUACGCUCUGCCGCAAAAUGAAAAAUCAAGUAUACACCGUACUACAGAAUCAAAAAGGAAAACCCACUGAAAACAAUCCUAGGAGAAGUGAACACUCAUAAUACAAGAACAAGCAGUCAACAACAUAGAUGUUUUUUUUAAUAUAAAAUACCCUAAGAUAAUACAUCAAGGUGUCCUUUGUUUCAUUUUGCAAGUACUCUAAUAGAGUAAUAUUCAUCAUGGAUCACUGGCAGUCAUUUAUCCAGACAUCCACAAAUAUCUCAAAAUCAUAAUAAAGAUAAACAAGAGAACCUCCGAGAGUAGUUUUUUCACAUAAUUGCCACUGAAAACUUUUAAUCUCACAUAUGCAUAAUUACAUUCUUUAUAAUAAAACUACAAGGAAGCUUGUUGUUUCAGAUUUCUAAUUUCUAUAAUAUAUACUAACUUAUAUAAUCUGCAUAAAAGAUUUCAGUUAUAAGCAGCAACUUCAGAAAGUGUUUCGACCCUUCCAUCCCUCUUUGCUCUUCUAUUCUCUUUAAAUUAAGACUAUUAGGCUUUUUUUUAUAUGCAAAAAAAAAAAGAAAAAGGUGGUAGUGGAUCAAAACAGCUACUUAGUGGCAAUGGAGGAGAAAACGACGGACGAGUAUGACAGGAUGGAAGAAUUAUCAAUUAAGAGAGAUUAAAGAGAAAAUAGGACAUGGUCUAUUGCCAUAUUACAUGCACUCUAAAUUGAAUGAAGAGUAUGGACGAUGAAAAAUAGGAGAAAAUCCCAUCAAUAAGAAAAGGAUAAAAGAAUGAUGAUAGUGGAAAUCAUCAGAUCUUGACCAUGACCAUUAAGGAGAUGGUGGGAGGAUGAGAAGACAAAAAUGGAAGGUUCAACAUGAGGACCGGUUUGACAUUAUUAGCAGAAAACUAACUUGAAUGGCACACAUGCAAUAUUAAAAUGACAAGGCUACAUAGGAGAUUAUGAAAAAAAAAAAAAAAACACAACUAAAAUAGAAGAAACAUAUUAUAGAAUACCAGAAUUCUGUGUUUCUAACUAACAGACAAAUGAUGGUUCCAUAGAAUUGGGAUCAGUCUUACAUAGGUAAUUUAGGCUAGCCAUACACAUAAUGAGCAACCAAAAUGUAGAGCAAGACAAGCAUUUCAAUGUCCAACAUAACUGCUAAAACUAACAAGAAUAUUUUUUAUGCUACUCGUCAUGGUAACUGACAAGAAAAAUGCAACAUUUAAAAUCGCUAGCAACAAGCGUGAAACAAUUUAUUUUGAUUAAGAAAAAAAAAAAGAGAAAUCAACUUAUGAGGGAUGUAGCUCGCUCACUUCUAUGAAACUAGAAGUAAGGAUAAUUAUUUAAGAACAAGCACAAGUGCCAAGGCUAUGUUGAACAUAGUACACAAAAAUAACUACGAAAAAGAAGGAAAAGAUUAUAAGGUAAUAAAAUGGACCUCACGCUGCUGCUGAGCAAUCUGAGAUAUCUUCUGACUCAAAUUCAAAGAAGCAUGAUACAUAUCAUCUAUGAUAUGUUCCCUAAGCACCCUCUUGUUCAAUUUCCACAAGAAAAGCUGUGUCUGGCCUGAUCCAUGCAUAACAACUUUCUGCAAGAAACAGUCAACAUUUCAAAAGUCAACAAUUUCCGACUCCCCAAUAUCAAAUUGUGCAAAGCAGCCGAAACAAAAGAUUUAGCAAUCUUCUUCUGUAGCAAAAGCAGACAUCGAAGGGUCUUUAUGCAACAGUAAGAUAUUUCUUUUGCAACAUGCAAUUGACAACAAACUCUUUGAUCACCACUGUAAAGUGUGUCACUGCAUAAAAUAAAGAACAAUGAAAAAUAAGCAUUGGCUACAGAUAAUAACUUUCAAUACAGUUAUCACUAGCGCAAACUGAAUCACAAGACUUAGCAAUUGCCAUAACUUACCCAUUCCACAAAUUUCCACUGGAAAAAAACUAGAACAACAGGAUAAGAAACUAUUAGGCAGCAAAUGAUAAAAUAGGUAAUCCAUUUUAAACAGUUUGUGGCAAUCAUUUUUCUACAUCCCAAGUGCUGCAAUAAAGCAAAUUAACCCUUCAUUGACCUGAAACUAUAGAGAAAAAAAUCCUAAGCAAAUUUGCACUAAAUUUACUUGUAUCAGCAAAUCAGGAUUGUAUGGAAAAACAUGAUUCAGUUGAAAGAAGAAAAGUAAUCUGCUCAGGUCUCACCAUUUCCAAUCAAAACAAACCCUCAUUCUUAACUAAAUCUAUUCCAAAAUCACUAUACCAUGAUUUCUUCGCACACCCUCAAAUUAAAUAAAACAACAUAUUCCGGAAGUUCUAGAGUUGCUGAUUCAUUUAUUGGCCGUCAUCUUGAUUGGGCCCUGGAAUGGCACAUGUCAUGCCACAGUACUGCCGACAUUUGGCACUGUUGGCACGUGUCCACUAUACCAACCAGCAGAGCAAUCCUUCCUUCAAGACAAUUCUUUUGCCAGAAAUACAUAGAAUGCUCAUCACAUAAUAGUAAGCAGUGACUGUCCAAAUGAUCAUCGGGACCUUGAUACUUCCGUACAUCAAACAUAUCAAGCUGAUUCCACGGCAGCAAAGAAAACACGGCCAGGCAAAUACAUGCUAACUUGCCAUGGACAUGCCAAAUUGGGCCAGUACAUACUGUGCCUAGACCUUAGCAAACGACACAAGUCUUUCCUCUCUUUUGAUACCCAAGGGCCAGUUAGGAUGAUGAAUAUCUAGUCCAGCAUAUCUCAAUCAUUUACUCAAGAGACAUAAUAAGUAUAUUUGUUAAUAAGGAGUAUGAAAAGAUACUACCGCUACCAUUUGUAGAGCCUCUAAGUGAACACAAUGUAGGAAGUAGCUGUCAAGAGAAGACAGUCCAUAAAGCAGAGGGUAAUUUAUUCAUACGAAUGUAACAACAUUAGGAAGCACAAUUCUAUGGCAAAUGAGACAAAAGAUUAAUGUUCUAUGUAAUUUUCCUAGCUCAGAAAUGUAGUAGUGAAGGGAACUGAAAAAGUAGCAGUGAAUCGAAGUUCGAAACUUAAUAUGUCCCUUACCUCCAUUUCCAAGUAUUCGUCCUUCCAGAGUUUGUACAAAAUUUCUUGAGCAUUCUUCUUCUCAAUAAAUGUAAUUUCUACAAUCUGAAAGAUGAAUAUAAUGAUCAAAAGGAAGGAAAUCAUAAGCAGGGCAAGACAUAAAGAAGUCCUCAUGUUCAUGAUAUAAGGAAGAAUAACCUACAUAAUAAGUGAGAAAAAUAGCAUCAAGAUUUGAAAAGCGUCAACCUAAAGUUCCACUGCAGCUACCAAGAUAGUUUGAAAAGGCACGCCUGAGGCGCGCACCUCAACGCCUAGGCGCCCCUAAGGUGCGCGCCUCAACGCCUAGGCGUGAGGCGCGGGCCUUAGCGCCUCAGCAAUAGCAAGGCGCAGUGCUAUUGCUAAGGCGCACGCCUAGGCCCUUAGGCAGGCGCCUCAGGCAAGGCGCGAGGCGCGCGCCUCGCAAUAUUUAAUAGUAUAGGGUUUUUGGAUCCAAGUUUCGGGAUUGUUGGGUUUCGGAUUUUAGUUUUAUAUUUUAACCCGAUAAGAUAAAUAAAAGAUCCUAAAAAAAAAACCCCAAAAAACCCUAGUGAAUUCCAAUUCUUCCCCCCCUCUCCUCUCCUGCUCGUGUUCCCCUAUCUCUCUGUCCAUGGGCAUCCAGCAGCAACAUCAGCCAUUGCUGGCAGCAGGAACAAGCAAGUAGCAGCCGUUGUAGCAAAAAAGCAACCUGCUGCAGCAGUUUUCAAGUUGCAGCGGGAGCAAAAACAGGAGUAGCGACAGCAAGAAGACAAGAACCAGCAUGAGGCGCACGCCUUCUUGAGGCGGAAAGAAAGUAAUCUGCUGCAAAAGUUUUCAAGUUUGCAUGUAUUUUCUUUACUUUUGAUAGUUAUUUUUAUUUUUGUAUGAUUAUUUGGAGUUUUUAAUGUAGAACAUCAAACUAAAUUAAGUUUAGUAAAUGUGUCCCUCGCCUUCGUGAGGGGCGCGCCUCGCAGUGCGCCUCGCGCCUAGGCACCAAGAGAGUUUUGCGCCUUUUUGCACCUUGCGCCUUUUCAAACACUGGCUACCAAGCAACAGAGCACAAAGACUCUCUUAAGGUAAAAAUGGCAUUCGUUCACAACAAUCCCUCCAUUCUAUUUGCAAGAUAAAGUGAAACAAACCUACAGGAUUACUCAGCAGAUCAAUGAGAUAAAAAGAUACAAUACUAGAAUUUAAUAUACCAGAAAAACUGAAGGAUAAAUAUGAUGUCUAAGAAAAAUUGCAAUUACCUAUGCAUUCUAACGAAUAUGAACCUCUCGUGACACCGGACUGAUCAGAAAAUACUCUCACAAGUCACAAGUACAAAGAAACUUCUAUUUCCUUGAAAAGAAUCUAGUAUUUAGGAAGGCUUCACAGGGAAGAGCUCUUAGCUACUGUUGACUAUCACAUAGAUGUCCCCCACUCACAAAUAAUGAAGUACAUUAAAUGCCUAGUAUAUUAAGUAUAAUAAAUCAAGAAACUGAAGGCAAAAAUACAGAUAAACUUGAUUAAAAAAAGUCAAAAGAUAGUAGUACAGCUGAUGCCAUAGGCACCUAAUCACAUCAUGAAUUAACUAUUGCUUGAAGCAUUGAAAAAUGCAUUCUAACUCAUUAAUUUUUGUCGACAGAGGUUCCAUAUCCUGUUGAUUUUGUCGAUUACAAACAAAUAGACAGGACUAAUUUAUUAUAUACGAAUGAUGUAGACUAGUAAUACUCUCAAGCAGAAUGGACUACAAUGAAAAUUCAUCGUCAAAAGCUGAAAGAUGGAUGACAUUCAUCCUUCUUAGUUUUUAUUUCUUUUAAUUUAACUGCCUGAUGAGCAACUGAUCUUAGCAUAGUCGAAACAUUUAAAUAAAUAUUAGAUGAACUGAUUGAAUAACCCAGAUGUUGACCAGUGCCUUUUUAGGAACUUUGAGAGAAUAAUCAGCGCCAUGGAAUUCAAAUCUGCCUAGGACUUGAUUUGGAAAUUUUAUCAGUUGACCUGGGAGAAGGCUAGGGUAAUAUCCAACAGUCUCUCUCACAGCCUCCCUCCCUCCACACCACCCACCUCCCUCUCUCCAUCCGUCUACAUUUACUCUCCAUUUAUGUUCAUUUGUCGUCCUUAUGUUUCCACUCUUUCCCUUUAUUUAUUUGCUUGAUAUAGGAACUUUGAGAGAAUAAUCAGUGCCAUGAAAUUCAAAUGCGCCCAGGACUUGAUUUGGAAAGUUCACCAGUUGACCUGCAAGAAGGCUAGAGCAAUAUCUAACAGUCUCUCUCCCGGCCUUCCUCCCUCUGUACCCACAACCACCGUCUCCCUCUACAUUUACUAUGAUACUAUCCAUUUAUGUUCAUUUAUCUUGCUUAUGUUUCCACCCUCUGUCUCACUCUCUCCCUUUAUUUUUAUAUACUGCAUUACUCAUCUAUUUAUCAUGGUUUUGCAAACAGUUUACACAGAUUUUAAAUUAGGACCUAUUCAGCCCCCACCUCCAAUCCCCCUCCGGCGAAACAAAUUUACCAACAAACACUAAUAUGCAUAUGAGAUUGCAGCUUAAAGUAAACAUUUUCUUAUUUGUGUUUCCAAUAAAUAGAUACUAUAACUCGGCAUAAUGUCCAAAAGGUGGUACACUGUAUCCAUGCGGUUACCCAUCACAUAGCGUAUAUACAUAUAGUGCAUAUACAAUAUGUGGGCACCUAUGCCAUCCAACUAUUAAAAUAGUACAGAAUAUUUAUAGUUAAUAAAAAUAUAUAUAAAUUCUUCCUAACAAAGCUGAAAUAUAUAAAAGCAAUCAAACACAAUUUACAUUUUAGAAAUUAUCUGCAAAUACAUCUUAUCAAAUAUUCAAGUAUUAUCUUUGGUUACAACUUAUUGUUAAGAGUCUAAUCAUUUAUGCAUUUAUAUGAUUAGCGCUAUUGCCAGUUGUACUUUUACUUCUACUGAGUCUAAUUUAACAUAACUUGUACUAUAAGGUGUUUUUUGUAAUUGUGUUCACUAUAUAUUCAAUAGAAACUCUAGAAGGGGCCUUUACGGCUUUACCCAAUCUUUCAUGGUAUCAGAGCCAUAAACCCCUUUAGGAAAAAUCAACAGAACCACCAUCCUUCUUUCUUCCUUUCCGUCACUAGUUUUUCUUCUUCCUCUCUAUUAUCGUUUUACCACUGCUACAAUAUUUCGCUAUAGUACUGCUGCUACAGUAUUUUUCUGCAAAACUGCCGCUACAAUGCUCUGCUAAUUGCUACAGUAUGCCACCCUUUUUUCCCUUUACUGGUAGUUAUCUUGUAGCCGUCUAUACUCAUCUACGUUCUCAAAACUCUAACUACAGUUUUGUGGUCAUUGGAUCUGUGGUUAUUACUUGAUGGUUUUCUCGAGGGUUCUCUUAUCUUUUUUAAUUGCUGUUGCCACAGAAUUAUUCCUUGUACUCUUCGUCUUUAUUUUUUAUGGUGGCUAAUAUGUUUCUCUACCUGUGGUGAAUAUCAAUACGCUUAUCCCUACAGAGAUAUCAAACACUACAUACUUGGUAUAGAAACAAGUGUUCCUCAAUGUGUUGAAAGGCUUCGGAGUAGCCUCACAUAUUGAUGGAACAGGUGUACCACCAUCUCAGAUGGUAGAGGUCAACAAAAAGCUAACACCCAAUCCUGAUUAGUACAAUGAUCCUCUCACAGAUCAAUGCAACAUUAUCCCUUUCUAUUCUUCAGAUGGUGAUAUCUAGUUUGUCGAAAUCAGCUCACCACGCCUGAGUCUUCAUUGAAAAUUACUUCUUUGACAAGACCACCUCUACUGCCUUUUCUCUUAAGGCAAAAUUGCAUAGCAUUAUGAAUAGGUUAAUAACUAUGUCAGAGUAUAGCAGAAGGUCAAAUCUAUCAAAGACGCACUUCUAGUCAUUAAGGAAGGUGAUGAAUGCUCUCCUUAGGCUCCCAAAAGAGCAUCACGGUUUUAUGAGUGCAUUGAAUACUCACAGAACCAAACUAAUUUUUGAUCAACUUCGUCUCUUCUAUUGUAAAAGGAAAUAGAAGUGCAGCGUCACUGUGAGCCGUACAACAUCCCCUUCCAGAGAUUAUAGUGCCCUGUAUGAAAAGCGUGACCGAGGGGAGGCCCUUUUCUUCUCCUUUCAGGGCCUAUAGGGGGUCGUUUCGAGCAAGCUUUUGCUUUUUCUCCUAGCUUUCUGAUGCUGUUGCACGCCGAUCCUCUACCAAAGUAUUGACGACACGCAUCAGUGCCCCCACUUGUGUUGUCAAAAGAUAGAUCUAAAGAACGACGAGGACAGCGAGGUGGUCAUCAUCCACAGCCUGGGCGUGGACAGCAUGGAGCCAUGGAGAAGCAUCGUAUCAACAUUUUCCACCUACACAACCUAGGCAUCCUCAACAAUACCCAUCUAUACAACUUCCUCAGUAUCGUCCUGAAUCAAUGAUGCCUCGCAUUGGGAUUCAGUGUCGAAUCUGUGGUAAAUUCAAUCACACUGCUCUGAAGUGUAAGCGGUUCAAUAGGCAGAGAUUCAACUAUACCUUUAUUGCGGAUGAGUAGAUGACAUACCACAAACUUUUGCUACCAUAAGCCUUCAAGAGCCUUCUGAGGAGGCGUGGUACCCUGACACUGACACUAGAGCAUCCAAUCAUAUGACCUCGGAUGCAGGUAUGCUUUCUAAUUGUAAAUCUUACUUAGGAACAGAUAAAAUAUUUGUUGGUGAUGAUCAUUUGCUUCCUAUUACUCAUACAAGUUAAUCUACUUUGAAUACUUCAUUGUAAAUCUUACUUAGGAACAGAUAAAAUAUUUGUUAGUAAUGAUCAUUUGCUUCCUAUUACUCAUACAAGUGAAUCUACUUUGAAUACUUCAUCCAAAUCCUUUCGUCUCACAAACAUUCUUGUUGUUCUCAAAUUAAGAAAAACUUGCUUUCUUUUCUAAAAUUUUGUAUGUGCUUUGGUUGCCUCAAAAGUUAAAAUGGUGACUUAUGGCAUAAAAGAUUAUCCAAAUUUGUUAAAGACAAUAAGAGAAUUUCAAGUUAAGAUUUCUCAUUGAAAUUCUUGUAAUGUCAUUAAACAUAUUAAACUUCCAUUUAAUAAAUCACAAUCUCAGUCUGUUUCUCCAUUUUAUUUAAUUCAUUCUGAUGUUUGGCAAUCACAUAUUUCUUCUAUCUGUGAUUGUAAAUAUUAUGUUGAUUUCGUGGAUGAUUUUGCUCGUUAUUCGUGAAUACAUCUUUUGAAACAUAAACAUGAGGUUUUUGAUAAAUUUGUUGAAUUUAAGGCUAUGAUUGAAAAUAAUUUUGAUAAUCAAAUUAAGCUUUUUCAAUCUGAUGGGGGAAAAAAAUUUGUCAAUAAGAAAUUUUCAUCUCUUUUUCGUCAAACUGGUAUUAUUUAUUGUAUUUCUUGACCUCAGACACCACAACAUAAUGGUGUAGCUGAACACAAACACAGACAUUUGAUGACAGGAUUAUUGCCUGUAUACCCCUCAAAACUUCAAAAAUAUCUAAUUUACCCAUACUUUUUUUUAUUUCCAAUAUACCCCUGAUAUGUUCCUCCAUUUUCAAAAAUACCUCCACAGUUACCACCUGUAAGUUAUCUCAAGUUAAACGUGCGUUAAAUAUCUACCAGAGUUAAAAAAAAUCAAAAUACCCCUUUUGCCCUUAACUUAAAGGCAAAUAAGAAAAGUUGGUGAUGGUAGAGCGAUAUAUUUGAAAAGACCAAAAAUCAAAAUACUUCUUUCGCCCCUAACUAAAGGGCAAAUAUGAAAAGUUGGUGAUGGUAAAAAGGUAUCUUUGAAAGGGCAAAAUUGUAAGUUCACAAAGAUAACAGCUAUUGCUACAGUUCACUAACAGAAUUUAACUCUAGGGGUAUAUUUGAAAUAACUUGAAACGUAAAAAGGGUAUUUUAAAUAUUAGCCUCCUAAGAGGGAUAAAUCAGAAAGUUGAGAACUUCUCAGGAAUAUAUAAGCAUUUGCCCUUUUGAUAAAUGUAGUGAGAACCAUUCUUUUCUAUUCUUGUAUGCCUCCUCAUUUUUGGACAGAUGUCCUUAUGCAAGCUGUUUUUCUUACUAAUCGUUAGCCUUCUGUUUUUAAAGAAAAGUGACCAUAUCAACUUUUAUUGGUCUUAAUCCGACAGACUUGCAACUUGUGAGAGUUUUCGAAUGCUUGUGUUAUCCUGACUUAUAGGACAUUGCGAGUCGCAAACUCUCCCCCCGUUCCCUACCUUGUGUUUACCUUGGCAUUUCUAAUAAACACAAGGGCUUCAUAUGUUUUUAUCCACAGAUCGAUAAAGUUUUUAUCUCUCGUCAUGUUACUUUUAUUGAGUGUUUUCCUUUUCCUUGCCUAGCUAAAUUCUCUCAAACUGAUAGCUCUAACUUUCAAAUGUUUCAAGAUUUUCCAACCCUCCUUUGUUAGGAAAUGAUCUUUCAACUCUUGAGGCCAUUGCAAGUUUUAGUUUUCUUCCCUCUGAAAAUUCUUUUACUAUUCAUUCUUCCUCCACUUCCAAUUUACUUGCUUCUGAAGCUAUAGAGAUCACUAAUAUCAACAAUAUUUUUUUUGGUCCAUUGACCGAAACUAAAAGUGCACCCACCAUUGUUGGUCAGAAAUAGCUCCGAGUGUACACCAAAAAAUAUGUUUCCAAAUAUUCUACUAUUGAACAAUUACCUUCCUCACCACAACUCAACCCCCAAUUACUAUAAGUCGACCCUGUAUCCUCUACAUCCACUUUACCAACCAACACUUCAACACCAACCACCAAUCACACCUCCCCUACCUAUAUCCUUCAGAACCCAUGAUAUGCUCACACGAUCCAUGACUAAGCAGCGGGAUACUUCCACCUCUCUCUUGGCUUCUUCACAAUCUACUCGUCCAAUUGAGCCUAACAAUUUUUCUAAAGCAUUUUGGGAUUCUGGUUGGUGUCAGGCCAUGCAAAAAGAAUUCCAAGAUCUUCUAACUCUACCUGUGACCUAGUUUCACCACCAACCUCUGUUAAUCUUAUUGGAUGUAAAUGGGUUUAUGAAGCAAAAGGCAGAAAGCAGACGGUUCGUUAGAGCGUUUGAAAACUCAUCUUGUUACACAAGGCUUCAAGCAACAACUAGGGAUCGAUUUUGAUAAGACUUUUUCUCCUAUCGUGAAGCCUACUACUAUUCGAAUAGUUAUUUCUGUUGCUUUAUCUUCUGGUUGGACUCUUCGCCAACUUGAUGUGAACAAUGCAUUUCUUCAUGGUGUUCCAAACAAAGAAGUUUAUAUGAAACAACCUCCUUAGCUUGUUCUUCAUUCAUUUCCUAAUCAUAUUUGCAGACUUCACAAGGCUAUUUAUGCAGGCACCUCGAGCUUGGUUUCAACGUUUACAUCUUUUUUUUUUAUCUGAGUUAGGAUUUACUGGAGUUCGGCUAAUCCUUCUGUGUUUAACUUCGAUAAUAAAGAAGGAAUUCUCAUUCUCUUUCUAUAUGUUGAUGAUAUCAUCAUCAUAGACAGCUCGUCCUCUAUGUUUAACCCCUUAAUGUUCACACUCCAAACAGAAUUUGCUAUCUAAGAUUCGGGACCUCUUCACUUUUUUUUGGAGCGAAAGUGACUACUUCAGCUCAUGGUCUUCGGCUGACUCAACAGAAAUAUGCUCAACAGCUUCUUGAGUGGCAUGGUAUGCUUUCCAGCAAGUCUGUUUCUACUCCGCUAUCAUCUACGACUCAGCUGUCUUCUCAUGAGGGUCGCCUACUUGAGGAUCCCUAUAUCCACCACUAGAUUGUUGGUGUGCUCCAACACCUUACCUUCACUAGACCGGAUACCUCAUAUGCCAUGAAUCUGGUUGCUCAGUUUCUACAAGCAUCUCGGGGCCCUCACCUUCAGACUGUUAAGCGUAUUCUACGUUAUAUCAUAAGGACAAUGAAUUAUAGCCUUCAUUUUUCACGUUGUACUUCUCUUAUCGCCUACUCUAAUGCUGAUUGGGCUAGUUGUCCUAACAUUCGACGUUCAACUUUUGAUUUCUAUGUUUUUCUUAGUUUCAAUCUAAUUUUGCGGUCUGCUAAGAAACAGCCGACAAUCUCUCGUUCUAGCUCUAAAGUUGAGUUUCGUAGUGUUGCAUUCACUCUUGUUGAGAGCAUUUGGAUCUCCUUCGGGAUCUUGGUGUGUCACUACGUCAUCCUCUCACUAUCUUUUGCGACAAUCUCAGUACAACAUAAAUAGCAGCCAAAUUCGGUAUUACAUGCACGGACAAAGCAUAUCAAACUAGACCAUCAUUUUUUGUGCGAGAAAAUGCAACUAGGUGAUCUCUCUUUAAUUUACAUUCCUUCCGAUAGAUAGUUGGCUAAUAUCUCCACAAAACCUUUGUCUACUGCUCACUUUACUGCACCUCGUAUCUAUCUUCACAUUCAACCUUGGAUGCUCAAAUUGCGGGGAGAUGUUAGAAUCUAAUCAUUUAUGUAUUUAUGUGAUUAGCACUAUUGCUAAUUGUACUUGUAAGGGGCCUAGUUUAAAACAACUUGUACUAUAAGGUACUUUUGUAAUUGUCUCAUUAUAUAUAUCCAAUGGAAACCCUAUUGGCAGCCUUUACAACUUUACCCAAUCUUUCACUUAUAAAUUGAUAAAAAUGUAUAACCUCUAAAAUGUAGGCUAUUUAAAUUCUAAAUCACCUCCUUAACUCAAAAAUAGAUGCAGUUGAAGGCAUUUAACCUACAAUAUAAACGUGGAGGGGCCUAUUUCAAAAUAGCCUAUAAUUAAGAAGGUGUUUGCAUUUUGUUUUUUCAACCAAAUGGUCUAACAGAAACCGACGGGCCUUCAAUACACACACGCACACACAAACACAGAGAGAUCCUACCAUUCACCACUCCUGCUCAGCACUGCCGUUGUGGUCGCCGAAGCUGCUGCUUUGGUGCUGCUACUAGAUCAAGGCUCAAGAGAGAAAAUAGGAAGGGGAAUCGAGAGGGAGAAGGGAUUCCUUUCACUUUUUAGUCUAAACCCGAACCGUUAAUGGACCCAUGACUCGAAAAACGCAUGCGGACUCCUAUACGGCUGCCUAAUAGAAGGCAGUACGCAUAUGUGGCCACCAUUGAUUAAAAAAGCGCGCCAUAGGCGCCUAGGCUCCAAGGCCGGCGCCUAGGCAGCCUCUAGGUGGGCGCCAUGGCCAAGGUGCACGCCUAGGCAGCCUAGGCGCCAAGGCACAAGGCGCCCACAAGGCGCGCCUCAGAGAGUAACAGAAAAGGGUUUCGAUCCAUUUUUAAUGGGCUUGGAUCCAUUUUUAAUGGAUUUGGAUCCAGUUUUUAUGGGUCUAACAGGUUGAAAUAUUUAAAAUAAAAUCCAAAACCUAAACUAAACCCUAUACUAAAUCCCUCUCCUCUGUUCGCUUGCCCUCACCUCCCGCUCGCCCGCUCCUCCCGCUCGCCCUCUCCUCCUAUUCGCCCGCUCCUCCCGCUCGCCCC
RNAcentral lists this long non-coding RNA (34362 nucleotides) under Ananas comosus (pineapple). RNAcentral's name for it is "long non-coding RNA (ACOM_LNC018135)". Lineage: Eukaryota; Viridiplantae; Streptophyta; Magnoliopsida; Poales; Bromeliaceae. The record is from RNAcentral.